Molecule: ribosomal RNA, 497 nt
Filed under: uncultured bacterium
Lineage: Bacteria
Description: partial 16S ribosomal RNA
Rfam family: Bacterial small subunit ribosomal RNA
Source: RNAcentral
GACGAACGCUGGCGGCGUGCCUAAUACAUGCAAGUUGAGCGAUGAAGAUUGGUGCUUGCACCAAUUUGAAGAGCAGCGAACGGGUGAGUAACGCGUGGGGAAUCUGCCUUUGAGCGGGGGACAACAUUUGGAAACGAAUGCUAAUACCGCAUAACAACUUUAAACAUAAGUUUUAAGUUUGAAAGAUGCAAUUGCAUCACUCAAAGAUGAUCCCGCGUUGUAUUAGCUAGUUGGUGAGGUAAAGGCUCACCAAGGCGAUGAUACAUAGCCGACCUGAGAGGGUGAUCGGCGACAUUGGGACUGAGACACGGCCCAAACUCCUACGGGAGGCAGCAGUAGGGAAUCUUCGGCAAUGGACGAAAGUCUGACCGAGCAACGCCGCGUGAGUGAAGAAAGUUUUCGGAUCGUAAAACUCUGUUGGUAGAGAAGAACGUUGGUGAGGGUGGAAAGCUCAUCAAGUGACGGUAACUACCCAGAAAGGGACGGCUAACUACGUG